RNAcentral lists this ribosomal RNA (376 nucleotides) under uncultured bacterium. Its description in RNAcentral is "bacterial SSU rRNA". It matches the Rfam family "Bacterial small subunit ribosomal RNA", at positions 524 to 898 of the family's 1533-position model. The record is from RNAcentral.
UACGUAGGGCGCGAGCGUUGUCCGGAAUUAUUGGGCGUAAAGAGCUCGUAGGUGGCUUGUCGCGUCUGCCGUGAAAGCCCGUGGCUUAACUACGGGUCUGCGGUGGAUACGGGCAGGCUAGAGGCUGGUAGGGGCAAGUGGAAUUCCUGGUGUAGCGGUGAAAUGCGCAGAUAUCAGGAGGAACACCGGUGGCGAAGGCGGCUUGCUGGGCCAGUUCUGACGCUGAGGAGCGAAAGCGUGGGGAGCGAACAGGAUUAGAUACCCUGGUAGUCCACGCUGUAAACGUUGGGCGCUAGGUGUGGGGGUCUUCCACGAUUCCUGUGCCGUAGCUAACGCAUUAAGCGCCCCGCCUGGGGAGUACGGCCGCAAGGCUAAA